This 71-nucleotide transfer RNA is filed under the name Candidatus Parcubacteria bacterium. RNAcentral describes it as "tRNA-Gly". It matches the Rfam family "tRNA". Rfam says of the family: Transfer RNA (tRNA) molecules are approximately 80 nucleotides in length. Their secondary structure includes four short double-helical elements and three loops (D, anti-codon, and T loops). The record is from RNAcentral. Lineage: Bacteria; Candidatus Parcubacteria.
GCGGGUAUGGUUCAGUGGUAGAACGCGACCUUCCCAAGGUUGAGAUACGGGUCCGAUUCCCGUUACCCGCU